CUACGGGGUGCACCAGUGAGGAAUAUUGCACAAUGGGGGGAACCCUGAUGCAGCAACGCCGCGUGGAGGAUGACGCAUUUCGGUGUGUAAACUCCUUUUAUAUGUCAAGAAAAUGACGGUAGCAUAUGAAUAAGCACCGGCUAACUCCGUGCCAGCAGCCGCGGUAAUACGGAGGGUGCAAGCGUUACUCGGAAUCACUGGGCGUAAAGGACGCGUAGGCGGGCUGGAAAGUCAGGUGUGAAAUCCUACAGCUUAACUGUAGAACUGCACUUGAAACUUCUAAUCUAGAGUAUGGGAGGGGGAGAUGGAAUUAGUGGUGUAGGGGUAAGAUCCGUAGAUAUCACUAGGAAUACCUAAAGCGAAGGCGAUCUCCUGGAACAUUACUGACGCUAAGGCGUGAAAGCGUGGGGAGCAAACAGGAUUAGAUACCCGCGUAGUC
RNAcentral lists this ribosomal RNA (439 nucleotides) under uncultured bacterium. RNAcentral's name for it is "partial 16S ribosomal RNA". It matches the Rfam family "Bacterial small subunit ribosomal RNA", at positions 339 to 795 of the family's 1533-position model. The record is from RNAcentral.